UACUCGAGUGGCGAACGGGUGAGUAACACGUGGGUGAUCUGCCCUGCACUUCGGGAUAAGCUUGGGAAACUGGGUCUAAUACCGGAUAGGACCGCACUUUAGUGUGUGUGGUGGAAAGUUUUUUCGGUGUAGGAUGAGCUCGCGGCCUAUCAGCUUGUUGGUGGGGUAAUGGCCUACCAAGGCGGCGACGGGUAGCCGGCCUGAGAGGGUGUACGGCCACAUUGGGACUGAGAUACGGCCCAG
RNAcentral lists this ribosomal RNA (243 nucleotides) under uncultured Actinomycetales bacterium. RNAcentral's name for it is "partial 16S ribosomal RNA". It matches the Rfam family "Bacterial small subunit ribosomal RNA", at positions 88 to 334 of the family's 1533-position model. Lineage: Bacteria; Bacillati; Actinomycetota; Actinomycetes; Actinomycetales. The record is from RNAcentral.